UGUGUGUGUGUGGUCCCUGUGUGUUCUUUCACUGUAAGAAACCUGGCUCCCCAAAAUACCACAUUUACUUAUUUGUUCAAUUCUAUAAUAUAUCUAAUGUAAUUUUAGAACUACUCCACUAUGAUCUUUAGUGACAAUUUUUAUUAGUAAGAAUACUUUUAUUCUUUUUUUUAAUAUUUAUUAAUUUUUGGGAGGGUGCAAGUUGGGGAGGGGCAGACAAAGGAAGACAGAGGAUCCAAAGCCAGCUCCGUGCUGACAAGCUGGCAGCAGCAAGCCCAAUAUGGGGCUUGAACCCAUGAACUGUGAGAUCAUGACCUGAGCCAAAGUCAUAUGUUCAACCCACUGAGUCUCCCAGGUGCCUCAAGAAUACUAUCAUUCUUAAAGAAUAUUUUCUGAUAAAAUAUAGCUUCACCAGCUUUCAUCCUUUUUUUCUCACCCUUUUAGUGUCUUUAUGUUUCAGCUUUGACUACCAUAAACAGCCUGCGAAUUUUGUUACCUACUAUGAUAGUUUACUGUGAACUUUUUUUUUUUUUUAGCUCAUUUACAUUAUUAAAAUUACUGAGUCUGGGCCUAUUUCUAACAUCUUAUAUGGUGCUUAUGGUGCUUCCUAUUUGUUCUUCUUUUUCUUUUCCUCCACUUUCCCCGUGUCUCACUUUCAUUGAAUUGAUAAGUUUUUGGCUCUUUCUGUUUGGAAGUUAUAUACACUGUUUUUGCUUGUUUUUUAAAGGUUGCUAGUCAAAUUUUGAUAUGCAUAUAUUGCUUAGUAAUGCUUAAUAUUAAUUAAUAACUAUAUGAGAAUUUUAGAACACUUAAGUCUAAUCACCAGCUUCUUAUUCUACAUGUUAUUGCUAGCAAGUAUUUUAUUUCUGCCCUGUCUUUUACUGUUUCCUCCUAUCCAUUAAGACUCAUAUCUCUAAGUUUAUGAAAAUUGCAAAUAUUUCCUGUGAUUUGUUACUUGCAACCACACAAACUUUUAAAGGAUUAAAGAGUCGCUUUUCCAACUUCAUGUUGGGUGUCUCUACUAAGAUUUCACUCCCUCAACACUAUGUAAUAACCAGAAAUUGAUAUUAUUAUUUUUAUUUUUAGGCAUACAGAAUUGCUUCUGCAUAAUGAAAUUAUACUCAGAGGAAAAAGAUUGCAUGUUCGUAUUUUAGCUAUAAGGAUAGAUAGCAACUAUAUGUCUGAGAACUUUUCCUCUUAUUCUGAAUUUCAGAGAUUAUCUCAUUAGAAUUUCAACUCCACCAAAUAGAGAUAAUGUUGUAAACUAAGUAAUUUAUUGAGAGCUUGCUGUGAAGGAGUUUAUCAGUAUUCUGUGGAAAGGCAUAAGGUGAAAUCUGCUUCUAGCAAGUGAACUCUAGAAAGUCACGCUGGGAAAGAUCAUGGAGAAAAGAAAGCCUGUACUAGAAACUUGUGAGACUUGAGCUGUUAUAAACCAAGGUACUUGGCACCAGAGGUGAACUCUGAGGACAAGGUUCAAAAUGGUGAUGAGCAGCAAAUGGUUAACAUAACCUCAUUCUGCCCUGAUGUCCAGGGCUUAUAACACUUGUAUUAUUCUUCCAUUAGCUUUAUGGGUCCCAUUUUGGCUAUGAGCCAAGACAUUGAGGAAGUGUCAGUGUGAGCCUUCAAGGCUGCAAUGGGAAGGCAAAGAGGAACAUAUAUGAAUGAGCUGGAUCCAUCAUCUGUGAGCAGAGAAGAUUAGGGGGCACAGUCUGGCCCAGCAAAAGAUAUUUCUAGGCGCCAGUAUUUCAGUGCAAUAAUCUUAAGUGUUAGAUUCAGAGGGUCAGUCCAGGCUCAAGCUGUCAGGUGUAGGCAAGAAAUCCAGGAGCUCAGGUGUUGGUGAAAACAAAGUACAGAUGGUCUCAUAAAUAGCGAUAAUUUGCUUUCCUUUGCCUUUUUUUUUUUGAACACCUACUGCAUACCAAGCAAUUCAUAUACAUUAUCUCUAAUGUUCCCAAGGAUCUUGAAAAAUUGGAGUAUUUUCAAUCCCCAUUUUACAUGAAGAAACUCAGAUUAAAAGGUAUUAAGAGACUUGACCAUUUUACAUCUAUACAUCAGUAAAACUAGGGUCUAAAUACUAGUUUAUUUCACUCUGGAGUCUGAUUUUUCCACUACCCCUAGCAUCUCUCAGUGAAAUGAACUCAUUGUUUUCAACUGGGUCUUGACAGUUCCAACCAUAGGUUAGACUGAAAAAUAUGCAUUUUUCUUACUUUAAAAUAUAUCUUGGAUAGAUUUUCUUAUUCUGCACUCUUUUCACAUCCUAUUCCUCAAGUUGUUUUUAUUAUGCAUAGAUCUGGAGGCAACUAAUAGACAUUUAAAAAGUCAGGUCAAAAAAUAAGAUAGCUGAGAGCCAAUAUGUGGAAAGAUUACUAUAUUCAAUUAAAAAAAGUUUAUAGUACAUGUGAUAAAUGGGUACUUUCCACAAGAUGCCCUAGGAAUAGGUUUAUGAUUUUGAUUUGGGGAAAAUUGUUUACUUAAUAAGACCUGUGGUCUUAUUUAAUGGAAACGAGUACUGGAAGAUUGUCACAGGUCUUAUGUAGAUUUGUACUAUUUGCCAGAGAUAGUAAAUAAGAUUGUCACUGCAGCUGAUUAAUUUUCAGGACAAAAUUUGCAUCUCCUCUCUUCAGGGAUAUUGUUGCCAUGGUGAUAUUGUGACAUCAAGCUUUGUGCAGAGGGUUGCUGCCUCUUACCUGUAGACUUUGGCUUGCACUGUGUAGGAAGAAUUUCUGGACCACUUGGAGAAAUUUAUAUACAAAUUUAACAUAUAUAAUAUGUCAAAGCCAAGGCAAGGGUAGAGAAAUGUCUAUUAAGAUGCUGACCCAGUGACUGUCAUAAUACCUCUAUUUUGAUGUCCAUUUUAAUAUUCUGAAGAUAAGUGAGAACAUUAAACUAUAUAUUUUCAUUUGCAUAAAUUUAAGCUUCCAGUAAAGUGUUUUUCUUUUACACUCUGAAAAUGUAGUCUCGUUUGUAAAAGAAUUGGAAUCAUUGAACACUGGAAAGAAUAUUGACUUUAGGGUGGGGAAAUAGAAAUUAAAGUCCAAUAUUACUUUUUACUAUGUGACUUUGAAUUUAAUCCCCCUGAAUUUGUUUUGCUUAUUUAUAAAGUGUUGAGGAGAUAAAAAAAAACAAACAAACAUUUUCCAGGUAUAAAGUACUCUGUUUCAUUUUUUCUGCCUUAAUAUUUCUAUUCUAGAGAAAUGGAUUGGGUCAGUUAUUUGGUCAAUAUAUCAGACUUUUUAGGAUGGACUCUUUUUUUUUUUUUGCUAUGUUUGCUUGUAUUUUACUGAUUUUUUUUUUUACAAUAGAUAAUGAAACAAUAAGACUAAUGAUAUUGUUCACAGAGGGACCAAUGGAUGAGAAGAGGAAACCUGAUCUCAAUGUUAUACGCCUAUGGAAAAAGAAGAUUCCAUAAAGUAGAAUGUAAAUAAAGGCAAAAUAUAUAGUCUUAGAGUCAAGAGAGUAAAUGAAAAUUUAUAGGAAUUAGUUAAGAGACUGCACAUUUAAAUACAACAAAGAAGCCCAACAAAGAAGAGCUGAAAAGUUUCCCUUGGGAUCAGCAUUUAGGAAGUUAGUAAUUAGAGCAAUUCCCUGAGAUCUGUUGAGAGGCUGUAUUUCAGUGAAAUGAGAAAUGGGUGGAUAUCAAAAAAUGGGAGUUGAAAGCGGAGAUCACUCAUUGAAGAAUCAUGGAUAAAAAGAGAAGGAGAGAAAUCUGAUGGCCUCAGGAGUAGUACAUAGGAUCAGGGAGAAUUUAAAAUCUUUUCAAAAUAGAAGACCCUGAGUAUGUUGAUAGACUCAGAAGAAGCAGCCUGUUUCAAGCUGUGAUAUAUAAAAGGGGGAAUUAAAAAGGUGGCUCCGGCUGAGGGAAAAAAUCAAUGAACACAAGAGCUUUGAACGGGAAAGACAUCACCUCUGAAAUCAGAAGAAAGAAGGCAGAAGUGUGUGUCAGUGUGCACUAGUGUGUUGACUGGGAAUCAGAAAGAUGAGUGAGGCCACUACUGAUAAUUUAAAUUUUCUUUGUGAAGUAGAAGGCAAGGUUAUAUGUGAGACAGGGAAAUUUGGCCAUUGUAAAAGAAAAACAACUGGCCUUUUGUUAAAGGUGGAAAGAUUGAUUUUAUUCAGGCUAUUGCAGUAGGAUAGAGACUUCAGUGUAAACUGAGCUCAUAUCUGCUAAAACAGAUUUUUAAGUGUUGGGGUAUACUAAAGGAAAAGUACUGAAAGGUAUUGGUCGGGGUUGGAGAGGUUUAUCUAUGUGACUAGGCCAGCUGUGUUUGCUAAUUGGUACUUAAUCAAAGUUAAGCUCCUACCCUCACACAGGUAUUGGGAGACACAGAUGGACGCUAUCUUCUUGAUUACAUUUCAAAAGGAUGGCUCCCAGGUCUUCAAGAAAGACAUUCCUGGGUUAUAGAAGAUACAUCUCAAAGGUAUAGAGGAAAGGUUUACAGCUGCAAGUUUUUUAAAGCAAAUGUUCCAGAAAAAGGAGAUCGGGAUCCUAUAGUCAGAUUUUGGCUAGAACAAACAGCAAUUUCUUUUGGGAGCAUUGGGCUUUCUUGGGCAUUUUAAGGAGACUGGGAUCAUCAUUGUAGGGACAUGGGCUUGAACUGAUAGAAGUCCUGCUAGAGUUUUGCCAAUAAGGAAUUCCGAGAAGAGUGUUUGUCACCAUAUUAGUGUUUGACCUUUUCAAGAUCAUACUGAUUUGGAUCAUUCAGGUGUGAAACCACAAGAUGAGGCAGUGAGCCUGAUAUAUAAAGUUUAAGCAAUUUCAGAGAAAGCUCUUUAAACUGAUCAUAUAAAAACUGAUGCCAGAAUGUUCAGUUUAGAGCAAUAUGGAAAACUCAGACAAAUAGGUUAAAGAGUACACAACUACAAAACCAACAUGAAAGAAGGGGCUAUGGAUCAGAGCUAGAAGACAGGCGCAGUGACUGUGUAUGUGAGCUAGCUCUAGAAAAUCUAAUCUCAUAGGGUAGGGCCCAACUAUAGCGCUGAGGGUUGUGAAUAGUACUGAUGGAAAGAUCUAAGCAGAGCCGUUGUCUUAGCCUACAGAAACUUAUUUGAGUAUAGUUUUGGACCAUGAUGUUAGGACCAAAGAAAGUUCCCAAGGAACUUGGUAUACCUGGACCCAAAGUAAAAAAAGAACAACUAGCUGAAGAGACCUCAUGUGAAAAAUUUUAAUUUCUUAACUUUCCAGUGACCAAGUUCAAGAUUAAUUCUAUAAUUUGGAACAGAAUUGGAUUUGCAGGAUUUUAACUUUUAGCAGUUAUGAAUUUGUGUCAAGAACUAUGGAAAAUGUCAACUGACCCUGCCUAGCAAAAAGAGAAAGAUCAUGGAGCAAGAACUAGGCAAGAUAUCUCAUUGGCUCAUAUUCUACAUUUUCUCCUGGAGGAAGGUAUAGAGAAAUUGACUUAAAGGCAGGGACCAUUCAAUGGUACAAAUGGCAAAGAUGAAAUAAUAUGGUUAAACAUGAACCAUGUGGUGAAGUAGAUAUGUUUUCUUCACCUACUCGGUAAGUACCUCUUUUGCAUUCCUAACCCAUGUAGUUUGAGUGAAUCUGAAUGAACCUCCAGUGAAAGAGGUAAACAUAUAACCAAAGUUGGGCCAAUCAAAGCACUUCAUAAGGUUAAAGUGAUUGAUUGAGGCUGGGCACAUGACAUUUCAUUUGUCAUAUUAAUGUUCAUAAAAUUAUUUAUAAUUUGUCACUCUUUUGGUGUCUGGACAGUCUCUAGUGAUGUUCUCUCAUUUCAUGCCUGAUGGUAAUUUGUGUUGUCUCUCCCAAUAUCCUUCUGUCUGUCUGUCUGUCUCUCUCUGUCUGUCUCUUUGUCUCUCUCCCCUCCCCUCCCUUUCUCUCUCCUGCUUUGCUCCUCAUUGCUUUUCUUUUUUUUAAGUUUAUUUAUUUAUUUUGAGAGGGAGAGAGAGAAAGAGAAAGAGAGAGAAUCACAAGUACACUCCACGCUGUCAGUAUAGAGACCAACACAGGGCUCAGGCUCACAAACCAUGAGAUCAUGACCUGAGCCGAAAUCAAGAGUCACGUGCUUAACCUACUGAGCCACCCAGGCACCUCUCCCCUCAUUCCUUUUUCUUGAUCAGUCUAGUUAGAGGUUUUUCACUAUGUUUUGGAUUGAUUUUCUCUAUUUAUCUCUAGUUUCUAUCUCACUGGUUUCUGUUCAUUUUUUUUUCAUUCUAAUUACCUUGGGUUUAAUUUGUUCUUCUUUUACUAGCUUCUUCAAGUAGAAGCUUAGAUUAUUUUUAGUCCAUAACGAUGCCCCUGCCCACCAAAUUAUAUUAUAUUGGGCUUUUAUUUUCAUUUGUUUAAAAUAUUUUCUUCUGGUACUCCUUUGUGAUUGAGUGGAAACCAGGUUAUCUGCUUUUUUGAGCAAUUAUUAGUAAAAUAGAGAAAAGAGUAUUAUAUAUCUGAGUAAAUUGUGAGAAAACUUAUUGGAACUUUAAAAGGCACUCUUAGUAACUGAUAUGCCCACAACCCAGUGGUUUAGCAUAUAAGGGAAAGGUAAGAAUAUUUGACUCAGAUGCACACACAUACCCAAGCACAUCCAGGCUCAUGAACCUUGAUUUCUGCUUAUAUGCCGUGAUUUGGCCUAUGCCUCCAGCUCCCUCAGAUAUGUGUAUUUGAUAGAAGCUGCUUGCCUGAAGUCAUUUUCAGAGAAUAUAUUCCUCAUCAUGGUCAUGCGGCAGAGGAUAUUUGAAUUACAGCAACUUAAGGUUUUAUUAGUCCAAGUAAUUUUGAAUUUUAGAUGGGAGACUUUAAACUGAGAAACACCUUUGAAUCCCAAAUGAAUUACUUUGAUGUUGGUUUUAUAGUUACUGUCAUGGGCAGUGUUAAGAGGAAUUUGAGCUAAUCUGCAUUAAAAAAUGAGCUAUUUCUAUCUUACUUGCUUAAGGGUCAAAAAAGACAGGAAACAAUAAAGAAGAGGGGAAAAGGAAGCUAGAAUGGAAAAUAAAAUAGCAUGCUGGGAGGCUGGAGCCCAGGGUAUAGGUUUUUAAAAUCCAGGAAGUGGUGAUGAGGAGGAGAAGGAAGGAAGAGGGAAAGAUAAGGAAGGAGGAGGUAUUUGAGAAAGAAGACUCCCUAAUACUGAAUGUUAAGUUAUUUGUGUUUCUGUGAUGUAAGCACUUCCAAUACCUCAAAUCUUGAGGAGAGAGACACAAAAGCAAAUGAGUUCUGUACAUUUUGCAGAAUUAAGGGGGAAUGUUGGUUUCCACAUCUGCACUGGCACCGGGCAGAAUAGAAAUAGCCUGCAAGAGAUGGAAACUGAGCUAAAAUUAGGAGUAGAAGCUCGGAAUCGGAUUUGGGAAUGUAAACUCCUGGGAAUUUUCAGAAAUCUGAGAGAAGACAUUAAACUUUUCAAACGCUAUGGAAGACAUAUCUAGCAAAAUAUUAUUGUAGAUUUAUUGAGCAGAAUGACCCUAAGUGACCCUGUGUUAACCUCAGGCCCUGUGCUGCCAGACACCAAUAGCAUUCUGUCACUGAGCAUCUAUUAUUAACCUACCGCUCCUGGCAAUGGCAGUCUGCUGGGGAAAAGCUAUGCAGAGACAUAGUUCCAUUUCUUCCUCAGAUUUUGGCAUAGGAUUAGGAGGAAAAUUAUGUGAAAAAUGAAAUGAUUUCAUGUGACUGUUACAUGAUAAACCAGCUUUCUUGGGUGACAUAUUAUCAGGCUGAAAGUGUGUGGCAUGAACGUUUUCCUCAAAUUGUUUAAAAUAAUGUAUGCAAAGUUAUUUUUAAAACAACUUAGUCACCCAGAAUUUAUUUCAUUCCCAAAGGCAGUUCAUAAAUUAAGAUUUACACUUAACAUGCUGCUUUCUUAAUUUGGAGCAUGUUAAUAUAAGAAAAUGACACAUGUUAUUUUGGGGCUUCUAACUCAGCUCUUGCAGAAAUGCUGUUUUUAUGCUCUAUAUGAAAGUUAUAUAUCAUAUUUUCAUGUUUAAUUUCUUCAUUUUUGAUAUGUACAUCUAUAAUAUUGGUGGUUAUAUAGAAAUGAGACUAGGAAAUAUAUUAUCUAGUAUUCUGUCAAUCCGAACUCUGUUUUAUAGCAUGUUUCCACAGUGAAAAUUGAAGAUAACAAUGUAAAUAAAACAGUAUAAGAUUUUGAUAUGUGGUUUGAAUCAUUUGCCUGAGAAUAUUAUUACAUUAAAUUAUGCUUGAUUUCAUCUUAGUAUUUUGACAUGACUGAUAAAAUCUUCAAUGAUAAAAACAACAGAGUUGUAUGUCAUUCAUUGUCUCAUUUUUUGCCUCAUAAUGAGAUUUGGAAACAGGCUCAGAAAAAUAAUGCUUGUCUGUGGCAUAAUGGCUGAUGCACUGCCUCUUAAAUUCUACAAGUGUAAAUAUGCAUAAAGUUCAUAUUCAUGAUUUAUUUUAAUCUUCAAAAGAAUUGAUACAUUGGUUUGAAUAAAUACCCAGCAGGGUUCCAUCGUAGUUUCAUGACUCAAGCUGUAAUUUAUGCCAUAUAUAUUUUUUAUUUGAGAUUGAAAUAUUAUAAGAAGUUCUUAUAUGCAUUUAGAAAUAUCCAUUGGUAAUUUUGUUUGAUAUUUGAAGUCUGCUGUAUUCAAUAUCAAAAAUUAUUAACUUUGAUUUUUCUUUUCUUUUGUUUGUACUUUGUAAACGAGCACAUACUACUUACAGGGCAAUAACGCUAAUUAUCAUGCAUUCACCAACACCGUUAAUAAACAGAGAAAAACAAAAUAAAAUAAAAAAUAACUCUAGGUAGUCUUUAUAAUAUUUUGAGUUAUUUUAAAAUGUUGAAUAUUUAAACAUUAGUAUGGUUGUGUGGUAUGAAGGCAUUAAUUUGUAUAGUUAUUGAUUGCAUUUGCCAAAAUGAAUUAAUUGUCUUCAAAUUUUUUUUUUCAGAUCAAACACAGUUUAUUACCUUAACUUGCCUCACAAAAUCAAAUUGCAAGCAGGAAUGGAUGGUCUGAGCUGAUUGUUUCCAGAUUUGUAAAUUUCACAGACCAGUGAAAUUAAAAGGAAAACAAAUGAAGAAAUUGGCAUAGGUUUGUUACUAUUUCCUAUUGCCAAUGACUGCGUUAAACAAAACAAAAUGAAAUUAUUUACAAUUAUCAUUAUUUCAUAAAAGAGGAUAUAUAAACAGCUCCCCCCAAAAGGAAAAAAAAACAGGUGGUUAUAAUCUCAUACGGAAGAAGUCUUUGAGAACAGUUUAUAAAACAAAUUCUCUCUCAUAUUUAUUUUUCAUUGUUUAUGCCAUGAAUUCCAACCUCAUGUUCAGAAAACUUUAUCUAAAUGGAUAUCAAGGGAACAUAUUUCUCAGCUAUUACCCAGACACUCUUUUUAUCUUCCUGUCCAGAUUCUUGGCUCCACACCUCAUUCCUGAUCCCUGUUUGUGUUGUCUUCGCAUUGCAUAAUCCUUCUAAUUUCAUACCUGGCUUUGGAGACCUAGGUGUUCUGUAAAGAUUUUGGGCUAUGCACACUCCCUUGGUUUUAUCAUUUCUGCUGAUUUAGGGUGAAAAAUCCCUGUGCUAUCCUCCUGCCCCUUGGAAUUCCCACCCUAGCUGUGAUAGCCUCAGCUUUGAUAAAAAAUUCAGAUAUAUUUUCCCCAACCUAAAUCAAAUUUCAGUUCUGCUAGUUAUAUCAGCACAGUCCAUCUUCUCUUCCUGGAUAUUAAUUAUUCCUUUUCACCAAUGACAUUUAAAAUAAGAACACAUUUUGUUCAGUUGUAUAAUAUAGUUAUCUUAAGCUUUGAAAAUAUGUGGGUUUUUUAAUAAUUAUUAUUUGUUUUUAAUGUUUAUUUAUUUUUGAGAAAGACAGAGAGACAGAGUGCAAGCAGGGGAGGAGCAGAGAGAGAAGGAGAUACACAAUCUGAGGCAGGUUCCAGGCUCUGAGCUAUCAGCACAGAGCCCAGUGCGGGGCUCCAACCCACGAACCGUGAGAUCAUGACCUGAGCUGAAGUUGGACACUUAACCCAGGUACUCCUAUAAUUACUUUUUUAAACACAAUUUACUGAGGUGAGGUCACAUGAUGAUAUGUUUUAAAUGAUAUUUUAUAGAUUGUAGGACCUGAAAUUUUCAAGAUUUCAAAAUAAAAAAAGGGUGUUUUGAGGAUCCUCAAGCAGGUAACCUCAAGGUGAAGGGAGCCAUAGCAAUCAUGUUCCACUAUGCCAUCCAUAAUGCAGAAUAAUGAUGUCUGAAUUAAAUGCUCAUCCAACCUCCAUUUGGACACUCCUAGUCAUGGAGAGUUCAUUGCCAUAUAAGUUAUCUCAUUCUAUCGUAGGACAUCAUCAUGGAAAUUUCUCUCCUAGAAUGACCUAAAAUCUGCAACUCUGUAUCUUUUUUUCUAAUAAUAACCUUUCAAGUAUUUGAAGAUAGUUAUCAACUCCCUCAGGAGUCUUUGCUUCUCUAGGGUAAACAUUAUUAGUCCUUUCAUCUAUUCACUUUUCAUAUGACAUAUUUUUUGGACCUUAAUCUUUUAGACUGAAUUUUCCUAAAUAUAUUGACUAUUUUCACAGUGUUUUUUUUUUUUUUUUAACGUUUAUUUAUUUUUUAGACAGAGAGAAACAGAGCAUGAAUGGGAGAGCGUCAGAGAGAGAGGGAGACACAGAAUCUGAAACAGGCUCCAGGCUCUGAGCGAUCAGCACAGACCCCGAUGCGGGGCUCGAACUCACGGACCGCGAGAUCAUGACCUGAGCCGAAGUCAGAUGCUUAACCGACUGAGCCACCCAGGCGCCCCUACAGUGUUUUUUUUUUUAAUGUUUAUUUAUUUUGGAGAGAGAGAGAGAGGCGGGGGGCAAGGGGUAGAGAGAAGGGAGACCCAGAAUCCAAAGCAGGCUCCAGGCUCUGAGCUGUCAGCCCAGAGCCUGAGGUGGACUUGAACCCACGAACCCAUGACCCAAGCCGAUGUCAGACACUUAACCGACUGAGCCACCCAGGAGCCCCCAUUUUCACAGUGUUUUUAUUCAUGCCAGCUUCUGGCUGGUCACCACAUUCCUGAAAAAAAUUCUACAAAACAGAGCAUGGUUGACUAUUUCUUUUGGAUCAUCUGAACAAAGUACUCCGAUUAAUUAAUACAGCAUAAGACUAGGUUAGAUCCUCAAAGAUGUUCACAUGAAUUUUGUAAUACAAAAAUCCCUAGAUUUAAUCUUUGUGCUAAAAUAGAUUCUUUCUAUCCAGUUUUUGUUUGAAUUUCUGAACCAAAAUGUAGGGCUUCAGAUUUAACUUUGUGAAAAUUAAUGUUGCCAAUACAUUUUAGCACUCUCUGUAAGAUGGAGAUACUUUACAUUAUUUAAAGAAAGAUCACUUUAAAUCUUGUUGUAUUAUAUAAUAUAUGUAUUUCUCCAUCUACUCUUAUUUGCACAUUCAGCUCAGUUAUUUUAAAAUAAAUUUGUGUCAAAGAUAAACAACAAAAUGAAUAUGCUCAGAAACUCUACAGUUGAGACUUCUCAUCAAGUUUAUGCUCUGACAUUAAUUCACAUUAAUUGAAUAUAGUUUUGAAUAUAAGUCCAAUUAAAUAUAUUAUUAUUCAGCCCAUGUUUUAUUCAGAGGUAUGAUUGGAAACUUUAUUGCUUCCUUUCUAAAAGAUAAUAAUAUCUGAAUAGCCAUCUCAAACAUAAAAUGACCCUAUUCAAUAGUUUUAGACAUAUUAGUUUUAUUUUCUGGAAGUUUGUUGGACUUUUUUUUUCCACCAAAAUGUAAAGUCUUUAUAAGAAAUGUGUUAGUUAACACAGAUCCUUUAGAAAGGAGGGCCUGAGGAGCAGUCAAAGUGUUGCUGCCUAAAGAGGUACAAGCAUGUGUGUGUGGUAAGAUAAAGAGAAAAAAGGAACUGAGGCAAGGAACAGAGUGAGUGGAACAGAGCCAGUAGGUUUCUCAGUGGGCAUGUUUGCUUAAUAUUUAGUACUUCCCAGAAGAUUGUAAGGAGUAAUCCCACCUCAGUGCAUGGAAGAGAGUUAAAAGGGGGAAAUAUAUCUGCCUUGGUCUGUGUUAUCUCCUGCUUUGUAUCAGUCAAGAUUCACCCACACUUACUCCCCAUAUCCCACCAGCUCAACUACCUUGUCCUUCCAACUUUGUUCUCCCCUGGUAUAUCUGUGCCUGUCAGUACGUAGUUAGGAGGCAGCAAAUCUCAAACCUGGAAUUAAACCACAUGUAUUAGUCAGCUUAGGUUGCCAUAACAAAAUACCAUAGGCUGGGUAGCCUAAACAACUGAUUUCUAAAAGUUCUGGAGGCUGGAAAGUCCAAGGUCAGAGUGCCAACCUGGUCAGGUGGUGGUGACAGCUCUCCUGCUGGCAUGCAGAUAGCUACCUUCUUGCUGUGUCCUCACAUGGUAGUGGAAGAGACAGAGUCUGAAGUCUCUUCUUCAAAGGGUGCUAAUCUCAUGCUGAAGAUCCCACCCUCAGGGGUUCAAUAUGUGGGGACACAAUUCAUUCUAUAGCACCCUCCCCCUCAAAUUCAUAUCUUUCUUACAUGAAAAAUACAUUCAUUCCAUCUCAACAGCUCCAACACUUUUAGUUCAUUCUAUUAUCAACUCUAAAGUCUGUUAGAGUCCAAAGUCUUAUCUGAGUGUCUUUUAAAGCAGAUAUGGGUGAGAUUCAAGAUUCAACUAAUGCAAAGGCAAAAUUCUAAUCUAACUGUGAACCUGUGAAACCAGACAAGUUAUAUGCUUUCAAAACACAAUGGUAUUCCUAUUCCAAGAGGUAGAAACGGGGAGGAGAAAAGGGGCGACAGGCCCCAAGCAAGUCCAAGACCUAACAAGGCAAAUUAUAUUAGAUCUCAAGGCUGGAGAAAAUCCUCUGGUUGGAUGUUCUGUCAUCUACACCCAGUAGGGUGACAGCAUACCCAUCCCGCCAUCACCACCAUGGCCCUUUGGGGCAGCCCUGUCCCUUUUGGUCAAUAUUGGGCAGAAAACAAUAGAAAUACAACACAUUGCUAAUGUGUAAAUUAAUAUAAUCUUUCCAGAGAACAACUUUGCAAUGCAAACCAAAAGCCAUAAAAUUUUGCAUAUCUUCUGGAGCAGUGACUUCAAGUGUAGCUAUUUAUAGUAAUAAUAUUUCUAUAGUUGCAUAAAAUAUUAUAAUACAAGAAUGUUUAUCACAAUAAUCAUAUUAAAAUGAAACAUGUGGAAACCCCAAAUAUCAACAGAGAUUGAUGUAGUUACUCAGUAGCCUAAUGUGCAGACAAAAAGAAUGACAAUUAACAUCUCACUCAGACUAUUUAAUGUCAUAUAAGAAAUCCAAUGUAUAAUAUAUAAAUGAAGCAGGUUAUCAAACAACAUGUGAAAUUGUGGUAGAUACUGUGUGUGUCACAGCCAUGUACCUUCACCCUCACUAUUUCAGUCUAUGCUUGCUCGACUUCUAAUUGCUGGAUUCUACUUCUGUUUGCCUGAGUUUUCUUUGUCCAGGUGCUUAGCAGGCCAGAAUGCUAAAGAAUAAUGCUCCUGGAUGCGUACUUGCCCAAUAAUUGAUGGAGUUCAUGUACAAAUAGCCCAGUCACACACUCUUUUGCUGAAGUGACUUUGAGAACAGUGCUCCAUACUGACUCCCAGAGUUCCUCAUUGGGAUCAGAUCCAAGAAUCCACAGUGAUGACUUCCCAGCUGGAAUGGAGAUUUCAUGGGCCAUGUGCAUGAAUGAUCUCACUGAUGGCAGAGCAACAAAAUCAAGGGCCUGUGGCCAUCAGUGAGAUGGCUCAGUAGCAAGUUCAGCUUAUGUCUGAAUUUUGAAAAGCGUUCUCUGACUCUUUGAAUCUGUGCUGGCUGAUAACUCCAAGAAGCAGCUCUGGUCAUUUGAAUCAGGCCUGCCUAGACUCUGAAGCUUUUGGAGUGAGGAGAUAACAGGAGGAUGCUGUCCAUUCCAGUCCAUUCCAGCUGGUCCCUGAUAUUGACGUGGGUGCUGUUUUGGCCUCAAUCCUGCCCUCUGCCUGUAUUCACUGAGUGGGAUUUCCCCACCAGAAACCUUUGCAUUCUCUGAGUCAUUUGGACUUGGACUUACUUGUCCAGAAGUUUUAGUUCCUGGAGAACUUGAGAAGGACUCCUUCUCCAGUUGUUGGACUUUAUUCCCCCUGCUGCUGCUCCACACCACCACAGCUUAUUCAGUCACUGGACAGUUCUUGGUGAAGAAUGAUACUCCUUAUUGCAGCGUGCCCCUUCUGCCUUGGCAAAGACCCAGCACAUUCUUCCACCUGAUGGUUUGAUGAAAAACCAAGGUAAUAUCUAAGCCCUUUGUCUUGGGGAAACUAAAUUUUCCUGCUGAGAUGGUAGACCAUACUUGGUUCUGUUUCCAGUUCGAAAUAGUGCCAUAUUUAUCAAACAACACUUUUAAAUAUCAUUUGAGAAAUUUAUGGGAUCUUCACUUUUCUUAUUUGUAAAUGAUGUAGUAUUUAAUAUAUCCAAAUGAAUUUAUACAAAUAAAUGCACAUUAUAAAGCAUAAUAAUUUGGAAUACAAAUAUAAUGGGAAAUCUCAUUUUAAUUUUUAUCCAUAUGAACUGUCCUGUUGCAAUGUAUAAAUGCAAGAAUAUAUCUUCAUGUAAAUAUUUUCAAUAAAAAAUGAG
Long non-coding RNA from Acinonyx jubatus (cheetah), 14489 nucleotides. RefSeq lists it as uncharacterized. Lineage: Eukaryota; Metazoa; Chordata; Mammalia; Carnivora; Felidae. The record is from RefSeq and is a predicted model, not a curated record. The transcript is spliced from 7 exons.